This 449-nucleotide ribosomal RNA is filed under the name uncultured bacterium. Its description in RNAcentral is "partial 16S ribosomal RNA". It matches the Rfam family "Bacterial small subunit ribosomal RNA", at positions 329 to 793 of the family's 1533-position model. The record is from RNAcentral.
UACCAGACUCCUACGGGAGGCAGCAGUGGGGGAUAUUGCACAAUGGGGGGAACCCUGAUGCAGCGACGCCGCGUGGGUGAAGGAGUGCUUCGGCAUGUAAAGCCCUAUCGGCAGGGAAGAAGCAAGACGGUACCUGACUAAGAAGCCCCGGCUAACUACGGGCCAGCAGCCGCGGUAAUACGUAGGGGGCGAGCGUUAUCCGGAUUCACUGGGUGGAAAGGGAGCGUAGACGGCCAUGCAAGCCAGGGGUGAAAGCCCGGGGCUCAACCCCGGGACUGCAUUGGGAACUGCCCCGCUCGAGUGCCGGAGGGGCAGGCGGAAUUCCUAGUGUAGCGGUGAAAUGCGUAGAUAUUAGGAGGAACACCAGUGGCGAAGGCGGCCUGCUGGACGGUGUACUGGCGCUGAGGCUCGAAAGCGUGGGGAGCAAACAGGAUUAGAUACCCCUGUAU